Molecule: ribosomal RNA, 439 nt
Filed under: uncultured bacterium
Lineage: Bacteria
Description: bacterial SSU rRNA
Rfam family: Bacterial small subunit ribosomal RNA
Source: RNAcentral
UACGGGAGGCAGCAGUGGGGAAUAUUGCACAAUGGGCGCAAGCCUGAUGCAGCCAUGCCGCGUGUAUGAAAAAGGCCUUCGGGUUGUAAAGUACUUUCAGUCGUGAGGAAGGUGUUAAGGUUAAUAACCUUAGCAAUUGACGUUAGCGACAGAAGAAGCACCGGCUAACUCCGUGCCAGCAGCCGCGGUAAUACGGAGGGUGCGAGCGUUAAUCGGAAUUACUGGGCGUAAAGGGCACGCAGGCGGUUAAUUAAGUUGGAUGUGAAAUCCCCGGGCUUAACCUGGGAAUGGCAUUCAAGACUGGUUAGCUAGAGCCUUGUAGAGGGGGUAGAAUUCCAUGUGUAGCGGUGAAAUGCGUAGAGAUGUGGAGGAAUACCGGUGGCGAAGGCGGCCCCUGGACAAAGACUGACGCUCAUGUGCGAAAGCGUGGGGAGCAAAC